AACGAACGCUGGCGGCAUGCCUAACACAUGCAAGUCGAACGAGACCUUCGGGUCUAGUGGCGCACGGGUGCGUAACGCGUGGGAACCUGCCCUUAGGUUCGGAAUAACUCCCCGAAAGGGGUGCUAAUACCGGAUAAUGUCUUCGGACCAAAGAUUUAUCGCCUUUGGAUGGGCCCGCGUUGGAUUAGCUAGUUGGUAGGGUAAAAGCCUACCAAGGCGACGAUCCAUAGCUGGUCUGAGAGGAUGAUCAGCCACACUGGGACUGAGACACGGCCCAGACUCCUACGGGAAGCAGCAGUGGGGAAUAUUGGACGAUAGGCGAAAGCCUGAUACAGCAAUGCCGCGUGAGUGAUGAAGGCCUUAGGGUUGUAAAGCUCUUUUACCCGGGAUGAUAAUGACAGUACCGGGAGAAUAAGCUCCGGCUAACUCCGUG
Molecule: ribosomal RNA, 433 nt
Filed under: uncultured bacterium
Lineage: Bacteria
Description: partial 16S ribosomal RNA
Rfam family: Bacterial small subunit ribosomal RNA
Source: RNAcentral